Molecule: ribosomal RNA, 497 nt
Filed under: uncultured bacterium
Lineage: Bacteria
Description: partial 16S ribosomal RNA
Rfam family: Bacterial small subunit ribosomal RNA
Source: RNAcentral
GAUGAACGCUGGCGGCGUGCCUAAUACAUGCAAGUCGAGCGAACAGACGAGGAGCUUGCUCCUCUGACGUUAGCGGCGGACGGGUGAGUAACACGUGGAUAACCUACCUAUAAGACUGGGAUAACUUCGGGAAACCGGAGCUAAUACCGGAUAACAUGUUGAACCGCAUGGUUCAACAGUGAAAGACGGUCUUGCUGUCACUUAUAGAUGGAUCCGCGCCGCAUUAGCUAGUUGGUAAGGUAACGGCUUACCAAGGCAACGAUGCGUAGCCGACCUGAGAGGGUGAUCGGCCAAACUGGAACUGAGACACGGUCCAGACUCCUACGGGAGGCAGCAGUAGGGAAUCUUCCGCAAUGGGCGAAAUCCUGACGGAGCAACGCCGCGUGAGUGAAGAAGGUCUUCGGAUCGUAAAACUCUGUUAUUAGGGAAGAACAAAUGUGUAAGUAACUAUGCACGUCUUGACGGUACCUAAUCAGAAAGCCACGGCUAACUACGUG